UGGGGAAUCUUGCACAAUGGGGGCAACCCUGAUGCAGCGACGCCGCGUGAGCGAUGAAGCCCUUCGGGGCGUAAAGCUCUUUCGACCGGAACGAUAAUGACGGUACCGGGAGAAGAAGCUGCGGCUAACUACGUGCCAGCAGCCGCGGUAAAACGUAGGAGGCGAGCGCUAUCCGGAUUUACUGGGCGUAAAGCGCACGCAGGCGGCUCUGUUAGUCGGACGUGAAAGCUCUCGGCUUAACCGGGAGAGGCCGUUCGAUACUGCGGGGCUUGAGGUAGGGAGAGGAAUGCGGAAUUCCCGGUGUAGUGGUGGAAUGCGUAGAUAUCGGGAGGAACACCUGUGGCGAAAGCGGCAUUCUGGCCCUCACCUGACGCUGAGGUGCGAAAGCGUGGGUAGCAAA
Molecule: ribosomal RNA, 400 nt
Filed under: uncultured bacterium
Lineage: Bacteria
Description: bacterial SSU rRNA
Rfam family: Bacterial small subunit ribosomal RNA
Source: RNAcentral